RNAcentral lists this ribosomal RNA (497 nucleotides) under uncultured bacterium. RNAcentral describes it as "partial 16S ribosomal RNA". It matches the Rfam family "Bacterial small subunit ribosomal RNA", at positions 28 to 507 of the family's 1533-position model. The record is from RNAcentral.
GAUGAACGCUGGCGGCGUGCCUAAUACAUGCAAGUCGAGCGAACAGACGAGGAGCUUGCUCCCCUGACGUUAGCGGCGGACGGGUGAGUAACACGUGGAUAACCUACCUAUAAGACUGGGAUAACUUCGGGAAACCGGAGCUAAUACCGGAUAAUAUAUUGAACCGCAUGGUUCAAUAGUGAAAGACGGUUUUGCUGUCACUUAUAGAUGGAUCCGCGCCGCAUUAGCUAGUUGGUAAGGUAACGGCUUACCAAGGCAACGAUGCGUAGCCGACCUGAGGGGGUGAUCGGCCACACUGGAACUGAGAAACGGUCCAGACUCCUACGGGAGGCAGCAGUAGGGAAUCUUCCGCAAUGGGCGAAAGCUUGACGGAGCAACGCCGCGUGAGUGAUGAAGGUCUUCGGAUCGUAAAACUCUGUUAUUAGGGAAGAACAAAUGUGUAAGUAACUAUGCACGUCUUGACGGUACCUAAUCAGAAAGCCACGGCUAACUACGUG